This 566-nucleotide ribosomal RNA is filed under the name Demodex folliculorum. Its description in RNAcentral is "partial 28S ribosomal RNA". It matches the Rfam family "Eukaryotic large subunit ribosomal RNA", at positions 1857 to 2200 of the family's 3401-position model. The record is from RNAcentral. Lineage: Eukaryota; Metazoa; Arthropoda; Arachnida; Trombidiformes; Demodicidae.
CAGCAGGUCUCCAAGGUGAAUAGCCUUUGGUCUAUAGAAUAAUGUAGAUAAGGGAAGUCGGCAAAGCUGAUCCGUAACUUUGGGAUAAGGAUUGGCUCUGAAGACUGAGCUGGUCGGGCUUUGGUCUAAUGCAAGUUAUGCAUUGUCCUCAAGACUGGAUCUAGUGUUGUUAAAUUUUUGGAAUAAAGAUGCUAAUCUAGGCUGUAAAUGUUUAAGAGAAGAGAGAAUUGUGUAAAAAGUGUAAAAGCUUUUUAUAUAUUCUUUGUAUUUUUUUUUACAUUUUGGUCUAGAUUGUCUUUAUUUUCGGUUUUUCAAUUAUCUAAUUCUGGACUUGUAUCUUUGCUAACUUGUAGAUAGCCUAAGCUAGACUCUUACAUUGUUUAAAAGUGUAAUUAUGAGUAGGGUAAAACUUAUUUGUAAUCUAUACUUUUAUCAAUAUAAGAUGUUCUUUCGGCCAGCAAAAAACAGUUGAAACAGAACUGGCACGGACUUGGGGAAUCCGACUGUCUAAUUAAAACAAAGCAUUGCGAUGGCCGAUAAUUGGUGUUGACGCAAUGUGAUUUCUG